GAGCUGUGCAAGAACAUCAACCCCGAUGAGGCCGUCGCCUACGGUGCCGCUGUCCAGGCCGCCAUCCUGAGCGGCGAGGGCAACGAGAAGGUGCAGGACCUGCUUCUGCUGGACGUCACCCCUCUCUCCCUUGGCCUGGAGACCGCCGGAGGAGUGAUGACCGUGCUGAUCCCGAGGAACACCACCAUCCCCACCAAGAAGGAGCAGGUGUUCUCCACCUACUCGGACAACCAGCCUGGUGUCCUGAUCCAGGUGUACGAGGGCGAGAGGACACGGACCCGCGACAACAACCUGCUGGGCAAGUUCGAGCUCUCCGGCAUCCCCCCUGCGCCCCGUGGUGUGCCCCAGAUCACGGUGUGCUUCGACAUCGACGCCAACGGCAUCCUGAACGUCUCGGCCGAGGACAAGACGACCGGGCAGAAGAACAAGAUCACCAUCACCAACGACAAGGGCCGUCUGUCCAAGGAGGAGAUCGAGAAGAUGGUGCAGGAC
This 492-nucleotide long non-coding RNA is filed under the name Sorghum bicolor (sorghum). RNAcentral describes it as "long non-coding RNA (SBIC_LNC015057)". The record is from RNAcentral. Lineage: Eukaryota; Viridiplantae; Streptophyta; Magnoliopsida; Poales; Poaceae.